Molecule: long non-coding RNA, 807 nt
Organism: Candoia aspera
Lineage: Eukaryota; Metazoa; Chordata; Lepidosauria; Squamata; Candoiidae
Exons: 3
Source: RefSeq, a predicted model, not a curated record
GUUUUUACAUUAAGACUUGAAUAUUCUUCUUUUUAAUAUCUUGUGCUAAUACUUCUAUAAUAACAUUGAACAAAAUAGGAGAUGUUGGGUGCCCCUAUUUAUCUGAAAAUAAUCCAUAUCCAAUCCAUUGAUGGUAAUUACUGUUUGUGCAUGUGAAUAUAGCUGGUUAAUUAUAGAAAUAUCAAAAUCCCAUUUCCAAACAAUUUUAAGUAAUUUACAUUUGUUUCUGUCAAGCACUGAAAACAUCUGAAGACAGCAGAAUGAAUAGAAAUUUGGUAUAUUUAGCCUAGCAUAUUGCAUUUAAUAGUCUUCUAAUUGACUCUACUACUGUCUAUUUCUUUCAGGAAGAAACUCAGAUUGAUCAGGACAUAUAAUUACUUGCAAACAUAUUUAAAGUUGUAACAAAUAAUGCAGUUACUUUUUAAAUCUUGAUUUAACAAUGCAGAUUAGACCUGUAUAAUGAUGUCUGACUAAAGUCUUUAUUUGAUUCUGGAAUAAUCAGAAAUCAGAGCACCAAGCAUAUGGCCAUUUCUGAUAUUGCUCCUCUACUUGCAGCGAUGCCUGUCAGCUUCCACCAGAGAGCAGAGCAGCUCUAUUACCCAAGUCUUUUACACUCUGGAAAUCAGUGGAGACAGCAACACAGCCAGAUCCUGGCCAAACAACAUGGAUUGCAGUUCAUUUCAAAGUUUGCAGUGAUGGGAACCCGUCCUGUCUGAGACCUCACCAAGGCACUUAGAAAGGAACGCCCACACCAUGUCAUCCAGGACACUGUCAGAAGGGUAUACAUGGGUGUCAUAAGCCUACAUA